This 440-nucleotide ribosomal RNA is filed under the name uncultured bacterium. Its description in RNAcentral is "partial 16S ribosomal RNA". It matches the Rfam family "Bacterial small subunit ribosomal RNA", at positions 338 to 795 of the family's 1533-position model. The record is from RNAcentral.
CCUACGGGAGGCAGCAGUGGGGAAUAUUGCACAAUGGGGGAAACCCUGAUGCAGCGAAGCCGCGUGAGGGAAGAAGUAAUUCGUUAUGUAAAGCUCUAUCAGCAGGGAAGAAAAUGACGGUACCUGAGUACGUAGCCACGGCUAACUACGUGCCAGCAGCCGCGGUAAUACGUAGGGGGCAAGCGUUAUCCGGAUUUACUGGGUGUAAAGGGAGCGUAGACGGCAGUGCAAGUCUGGAGUGAAAGACGGGGGCUCAACCCCCGGACUGCGGUUGAAACUGUACGGCUUGAGUGGAGGAGAGGUAAGCGGAAUUCCUAGUGUAGCGGUGAAAUGCGUAGAUAUUAGGAGGAACACCAGUGGCGAAGGCGGCUUACUGGAGUGUAACUGACGUUGAGGCUCGAAAGCGUGGGGAGCAAACAGGAUUAGAUACCCUUGUAGUC